GACGAGAUUCAAUUCUACUUCUGGGGAACAGCCUAUCAUCAAUGGCCAAAGCCUUAUCAGUGCCACAGUCAUUCUUCCGAGUGGUGUUCAUAGUCUACCAAAUAAAGGAGGACCUUCAUCACUAAUCCAACGAUGGAGAUCGGGUGGAUCAUGUGAUUGUGGAGGUUGGGAUUUGGGUUGCAAACUCAGAAUUUUUGCCAACCAGAGUCAGCUUAGUAAGAAUACACGUCCAUCUAAAGCUUGCACUAUAAUUGAUAAAUUUGAGUUCAUCUCUCAGGGAGGAGAAGAAGAGAACCAACCUGUCUUCAGUUUGGCUCCUUUCAAGGAUGGGAUCUAUUCAGUGGAGUUCAAUUCAUCACUUUCAAUUAUACAAGCGUUCUCACUGUGUAUAGCAGUUAUAGACAGUAAAAAACUGUGUGAGAUCCCAGGAUCGUGCAACUUGUUUGAAGGAAAAACUUCUUUGGAAACCAUAUUGGCCCGAAAUGAUGGAAUAAGGGGCAGCACAAAUCGAGUUGAUACGGACGUGCCUGCAAAAUUUGUCUCAUACCCACCCCAUUCUCCAGUUGGAAGGGUCUAGUUUCAUGAGGAAUGGUCUUGCAAUUACACAGGUGGUACGGAUCGGUAAAUAGCCAGUUUGACUUAGUAGACACUGUUUGAAUCCUGCAAUCCAGUGCCUCUCAUUGAUAUGGGAAAAUAAAAUAGAAUCUGCGAGGUGAUGGGGAAAGAAACCUUGAAGCAUGAGAGAACUGUAUUUUGUAUUAGUUUUUGAGUUCUUUUUGACAAUAGAAGCAGUAUUAACGGUACUUAGAGAACACUAUCUUCAUCAAUGUAAGUGUGCAUAUCAUAGUGCUUGUAGUUUGGAAU
RNAcentral lists this unclassified non-coding RNA (864 nucleotides) under Hevea brasiliensis (rubber tree). The record is from RNAcentral. Lineage: Eukaryota; Viridiplantae; Streptophyta; Magnoliopsida; Malpighiales; Euphorbiaceae.